This 267-nucleotide ribosomal RNA is filed under the name uncultured archaeon. RNAcentral describes it as "partial 16S ribosomal RNA". It matches the Rfam family "Archaeal small subunit ribosomal RNA", at positions 714 to 982 of the family's 1478-position model. The record is from RNAcentral.
AGACGUCUACAUUAGACUACCCCCGUAGUCCAGGGUAGUAAACGCUGCAGACUUGGUGUUGGAACCCUUCGGGGGUGUCCAGUGCCGGAGAGAAGUUGUUAAGUCUGCUACUUGGGGAGUACGUCCGCAAAGGAUGAAACUUAAAGGAAUUGGCGGGGGAGCACCGCAACGGGAGGAGCGUGCGGUUUAAUUGGAUUCAACGCCGAAAAACUCACCAGCAGCGACUGUUACAUGAAAGUCAGGUUGAUGACCUUACUAGAUUUUCAG